AAAACAAAAAAACGUGGCACUUGCGCUCGAAUGUCUUUCUCUUUUUAUGGUGUUUUGAUCUCUUCUCUUGUGCUAGAAGAAGACCAAAUCGAAGAUUUAAUUUUUGCGUGUCGAUAAUUUUUUUUAGUAAAAUUGUUUUAUAUUACAAUCUUUAAUUUUUUAUAUCAUUUUUUUGCUUUCUAGUUGAUAUUUUUUGGAUUUCACUUGGGAUAUUUUAAUUUUAAUGGAAGAAGAAGACUGAAAAAACAUGGAAGAAGAAGACCCCAAGUCAUCUACAAAGCUUAACAUUUUCUUUAUCUUCAACUUUAGUUUCUCGCACUGUUGCUACAAUUUUAAGGGAAACUAGUAGGAGAUAGAGUCUGCCAUUUGUUUGGUGCUGCUAUUUUUAGUUGAGUUAGCUACGGGAAACUUGGAUUUGGAUGCUCUUUUGGAGCUUAAGAAGGGAGUAUUGAAAGACCCUUCUCGGAAAGUCCUUUCUUCAUAGGAUCAAGUCAUUGGAACCAAAUGGUUGCUCCCAAAAUUGGUACGGUGUCGAUUACGGCGAUGUCCAUGUCAUUUCAAUUGAACUAAAUGAUGUAGGUUUAGUUAGACUUUUGGAUUUUGCAGUUAUUAGUUGCAAACAAUCAGUUAAGUAGGAAUAUUACUGAGGAAGUUGGGUUGAUAUGUCAUUCUCUAUUCUCCAUGAUUUCUAAUGAGAGGUCCAAUUAAGACUUUGUGAAAUCUUCUAAAAUAUUAAUGGAUCUAUCAGUGUUACAUAAAUUGUGAUAAAUGAAGUAUUUCUUCUGCAAUACAAAAUUAGGAGUUUCCUGUCACUGAAUCUGUUUGAUAUGUCUACACCUUAGUGAUAAUAUACACUUUUUGAUAAUGUAAUGUGGGAACAAUAAGUGAGAGAUGGUUAUAACAAACUUUACCAGUCAUGUUCUAAUGCAACUGAAACAAAAGAGGAAAGAUUUCACCAGACUA
Molecule: long non-coding RNA, 963 nt
Organism: Capsicum annuum
Lineage: Eukaryota; Viridiplantae; Streptophyta; Magnoliopsida; Solanales; Solanaceae
Exons: 2
Source: RefSeq, a predicted model, not a curated record